GGCAGAAACGUGGACUCAACGGUCCCUUCUCUCUCUACAAAGUUCCCAUUCAGAAACAAAAACAAGAAAAAAAAAACACACUCUCUUCUCUCUAGUUUUUUUUUUUCUCUCUCUGCAAUGUAGGUCGCCGGAGAUGGCAAACUUCCACCGUAACAACGUCGAGAACGUGGUCCUCGGUCACCACCGUUCCAAGAGCACCUCCGUCGCCGGUGGCCACUUCCGCCUAUGGCACUCCCUCUCCACCGCCUCCUUCCGCCGCCUGGUCUUCGAUGCCGUCAGCUGCGGCGCUAGCUCCCGCUACGCAGAGAGAUCGGACACGUCCUCCGAGAAACACCACCACCAAGCGAAACAACAGCACCGGCACAAGACGAAGCUGAAUAACGCAAAGUCGGAGAAGCUCUCGGAUCUGCUGAACCUCGCGGAGGUCGAAGCUGAUGCGGAAACGAGGAAGAAAGAGGACAAACUCGAGGAGCUGAAAAGCCUAGUGAAGGAGCUUCAUGAGGAGGAAGAGAAAGAAGAAGAAUCAAUGACGCGGAGAAGAGAAGCUGCUUGGAAGGUGAGGUUGCUAGCCAAAGAGGAUUUGGAAGUUAGAGGGACGCUCGCGAUGCUUGGAGCUAUUCCUCCUCUCGUCGCAAUGCUUGAUGAAUCCAAAAACGACGUCGAUUUGCUCGUUGCUUCUCUCUACGCGCUGCUCAACCUCGGAAUUGGAAACGACGCGAAUAAAGCAGCUAUUGUGAAAGUUGGGUCAGUUGAGAAGAUGCUGAAGCUGAUUGAGUCUCCAGAUGGUGUAGAUUCUUCGGUUUCUGAAGCAAUUGUUGCGAAUUUCCUUGGACUUAGUGCGUUGGAUUCGAAUAAGCCCAUAAUUGGGUCUUCGGCUUCAAUUUCUUUCUUAGUUAGAACCCUUCAGAGUUUAGAUGACAAGAGUAGUUCCCAAGCCAAGCAAGAUGCUCUACGGGCAUUGUACAAUCUUUCGAUCUACCCAGCCAAUGUUGCAUUCGUUUUGGAAACAGAUUUAGUUCUGUUUCUGGUGAACUCAAUAGGGGACAUGGAGGUAACUGAAAGAGCCCUUGCGAUUCUCAGCAACUUGGUGUCGACCCGAGAGGGUAGGAAGGCGAUUAGCGCAGUGCAAGAUUCGAUUCCGAUCCUGGUGGAUGUGUUGAAUUGGACAGAUUCGCCAGAAUGCCAGGAGAAGGCGUCCUACAUUUUGAUGGUUAUGGCACACAAGUCUUAUGGGGACAAACAGGCCAUGAUUGAGGCAGGGGUUGCGUCAUCACUGCUUGAGUUGUCCCUUUUGGGUUCCACAUUGGCUCAGAAAAGGGCUUCAAGGAUACUAGAAAUUUUGAGGGUUGACAAAGGGAAACAGAUUUCUGGGAGCUAUGGCUUGGGUGCUGCCGUCUCUGCCCCUAUUUGCGGCUCUUCGUCCGCGAAGCCGGAUGACGGAGGGAGGGAGUGUUAUGACGAGGAGGAAGAUAUGAUGAGUGAGGAAAAGAAAGCAGUGAAGCAACUAGUCCAACAGAGUUUGCAGAACAACAUGAGGAAAAUUGUGAAAAGGGCCAAUUUGCCUCACGAUAUUGUACCAUCGGAUCAUUUUAAGUCACUCACAUCAAGUUCUACUUCGAAGAGCCUACCAUUUUGAAGAAAUGCAGCAGGGAAGAGAGUAGGUUAAAGAGAAUAAACCUUGAGUGAAAUCUUACAUCUAUGCGAGUAAACCCAGUGUUUUUGAACUGAAAAUGAGACCCUCCAAACUAUACAAAUGGACAAUUAUCACGGUGCUGCAUAAGUUGUAUGAUGGGGUGCCUCCCAAUCAAGGGUAUGGUCUGCAAAAUUGGCUAAUCUUAGGGUUGCUUCAGUCAGGCCAUCGUUACAAGCGUCCCUACCUUCAAGGAGUCACUUUCAAACCACAGUACAUACGCAGAUCCAAAUGGCGUGGAAGAAAGAUUACAAUAUAGAUCUCUGAUUGGGAUGAAAAGCUGAGCUGUUCGUCGCAAAUAAGUAUGAAGGGUCAUUUUGUUCCCAUUAUGUAAAUGUUUCAUGAUGCCCUUGUGCUUGUGGGGUACGCUCAUUUGUAAUGUUAUCUCCUGCUGGUGGCUUUAAUUUUGUUGACUUUAGUGUAAAUAUUUUAUUGUCAAUGUAGUUUUGGUCUUAAUUAAUUGAGUUGUGCUCCCAUCAUGUACCAAUUAAGUGUAGAAUUUUCAUUUA
Vigna unguiculata (cowpea) is the source of this 2199-nucleotide RNA transcript. It is a transcript of the gene named ARM repeat superfamily protein, with no coding region annotated. Lineage: Eukaryota; Viridiplantae; Streptophyta; Magnoliopsida; Fabales; Fabaceae. The record is from RefSeq and is a predicted model, not a curated record.